UAACCAAAGAAUUUCGGUAUGAGAUGAGCCCGCGUCCCAUUAGCUAGUUGGUAAGGUAAAAGCUUACCAAGGCGACGAUGGGUAGCCGACCUGAGAGGGUGAUCGGCCACACUGGAACUGAGACACGGUCCAGACUCCUACGGGAGGCAGCAGUGGGGAAUAUUGCACAAUGGGCGAAAGCCUGAUGCAGCAACGCCGCGUGAGCGAUGAAGGUCUUCGGAUCGUAAAGCUCUGUCCUCAAGGGAAGUUUUGACGGUACUUGAGGAGGAAGCCCCGGCUAACUACGUGCCAGCAGCCGCGGUAAUACGUAGGGGGCUAGCGUUAUCCGGAAUUAUUGGGCGUAAAGGGUGCGUAGGCGGUCCUGCAAGUCAGAGGUGAAAGGCUACGGCUCAACCGUAGUAAGCCUUCGGAAACUGGAGAUCUUGAGGACAGGAGAGGAAAGUGGAAUUCCUAGUGUAGCGGUGAAAUGCGUAGAUAUUAGGAGGAACACCAGUGGCGAAGGCGACUUUCUGGACUGUAACUGACGCUGAGGCGCGAAAGCGUGGGGAGCAAACAGGAUUAGAUACCCUGGUAGUCCACGCCGUAAACGAUGAGUACUAGGUGUCGGGGGUUCCCCCCUCGGUGCCGCAGCUAACGCAUUAAGUACUCCGCCUGGGGAGUACGGUCGCAAGGUUGAAACUCAAAGGAAUUGACGGGGGCCCGCACAAGCGGUGGAGCAUGUGGUUUAAUUCGACGCAACGCGAAGAACCUUACCAGGGCUUGACAUCCUACGAAUUCCUAGGAAACUAGGGAGUGCCCUUCGGGGAGCGUAGAGACAGGUGGUGCAUGGUUGUCGUCAGCUCGUGUCGUGAGAUGUUGGGUUAAGUCCCGCAACGAGCGCAACCCCUGUGUUAGUUGCCAGCAAGUAAUGUUGGGCACUCUAGCCAGACUGCCGGCGAUAAGUCGGAGGAAGGUGGGGAUGACGUCAAAUCAUCAUGCCCCUUAUGUCCUGGGCUACACACGUACUACAAUGGCCGCUACAAUGGGAAGCCAAGGAGUAAUCCGGAGCAAAUCCCUUAAAGGCGGUCCCAGUUCGAAUUGUGGGCUGCAACUCGCCCACAUGAAGUCGGAAUUGCUAGUAAUGGCAGAUCAGCAUGCUGCCGUGAAUACGUUCCCGGGCCUUGUACACACCGCCCGCACACCAUGAGAGUCGGAAACACCCGAAGCCUGUGAGGUAACUGUAAAGAGCCAGCAGUCGAAGGUGGGUUCGAUGAUUGGGGUGAAGUCGUAACAAGGUAACC
This 1280-nucleotide ribosomal RNA is filed under the name uncultured bacterium. RNAcentral describes it as "partial 16S ribosomal RNA". It matches the Rfam family "Bacterial small subunit ribosomal RNA", at positions 198 to 1501 of the family's 1533-position model. The record is from RNAcentral.